GACGAACGCUGGCGGCGUGCCUAAUACAUGCAAGUAGAGCGCUGAAGGUUGGUACUUGUACCAACUGGAUGAGCAGCGAACGGGUGAGUAACGCGUGGGGAAUCUGCCUUUGAGCGGGGGACAACAUUUGGAAACGAAUGCUAAUACCGCAUAAAAACUUUAAACACAAGUUUUAAGUUUGAAAGAUGCAAUUGCAUCACUCAAAGAUGAUCCCGCGUUGUAUUAGCUAGUUGGUGAGGUAAGGGCUCACCAAGGCGAUGAUACAUAGCCGACCUGAGAGGGUGAUCGGCCACAUUGGGACUGAGACACGGCCCAAACUCCUACGGGAGGCAGCAGUAGGGAAUCUUCGGCAAUGGACGAAAGUCUGACCGAGCAACGCCGCGUGAGUGAAGAAGGUUUUCGGAUCGUAAAACUCUGUUGGUAGAGAAGAACGUUGGUGAGAGUGGAAAGCUCAUCAAGUGACGGUAACUACCCAGAAAGGGACGGCUAACUACGUG
Molecule: ribosomal RNA, 497 nt
Filed under: uncultured bacterium
Lineage: Bacteria
Description: partial 16S ribosomal RNA
Rfam family: Bacterial small subunit ribosomal RNA
Source: RNAcentral